Molecule: ribosomal RNA, 455 nt
Filed under: uncultured bacterium
Lineage: Bacteria
Description: bacterial SSU rRNA
Rfam family: Bacterial small subunit ribosomal RNA
Source: RNAcentral
CUACGGGAGGCAGCAGUGAGGAAUAUUGGACAAUGGGCGCAAGCCUGAUCCAGCCAUGCCGCGUGCAGGAAGAAGCAUCUAUGGUGUGUAAACUGCUUUUGUACAGGAAGAAACACUCCCUCGUGAGGGAGCUUGACGGUACUGUAAGAAUAAGGAUCGGCUAACUCCGUGCCAGCAGCCGCGGUAAUACGGAGGAUCCAAGCGUUAUCCGGAAUCAUUGGGUUUAAAGGGUCCGUAGGCGGUUUGAUAAGUCAGUGGUGAAAGCCCAUCGCUCAACGAUGGAACGGCCAUUGAUACUGUCAGACUUGAAUUACAAGGAAGUAACUAGAAUAUGUAGUGUAGCGGUGAAAUGCUUAGAUAUUACAUGGAAUACCAAUUGCGAAGGCAGGUUACUACUUGUGGAUUGACGCUGAUGGACGAAAGCGUGGGGAGCGAACAGGAUUAGAUACCCUGGU